This 397-nucleotide ribosomal RNA is filed under the name uncultured bacterium. RNAcentral describes it as "partial 16S ribosomal RNA". It matches the Rfam family "Bacterial small subunit ribosomal RNA", at positions 523 to 918 of the family's 1533-position model. The record is from RNAcentral.
AUACGUAGGUGACAAGCGUUAUCCGGAUUUACUGGGCGUAAAGGGCGUGUAGGCGGUCUUGCAAGUCAGAAGUGAAAUUCCUGAGCUCAACUCGGGCGCUGCUUCUGAAACUGCAGGACUUGAGUGCUGGAGGGGAUAGCGGAAUUCCUAGUGGAGCGGUAAAAUGCGCAGAUAUUAGGAAGAACACCGGUGGCGAAGGCGGCUAUCUGGACAGUAACUGACGCUGAGGCGCGAAAGUGUGGGGAGCAAACAGGAUUAGAUACCCUGGUAGUCCACACUGUAAACGAUGAAUGCUAGGUGUAGGGGGUAUCGACCCCUUCUGUGCCGCAGUCAACACAAUAAGCAUUCCGCCUGGGGAGUACGGCCGCAAGGUUGAAACUCAAAUGAAUUGACGGGG